This 168-nucleotide ribosomal RNA is filed under the name Ceraceosorus africanus. RNAcentral describes it as "partial large subunit ribosomal RNA". It matches the Rfam family "Eukaryotic large subunit ribosomal RNA", at positions 99 to 261 of the family's 3401-position model. The record is from RNAcentral. Lineage: Eukaryota; Fungi; Basidiomycota; Exobasidiomycetes; Ceraceosorales; Ceraceosoraceae.
CGGGAAGAGCUCAAAUUUGUAAGCUGGCGUCGUUGCGGCGUCCGCGUUGUAAGCUCGAGAGCUGUAGUCCGUGCCGGUGCGCGUACAAGUCCCUUGGAAUGGGGCAUCGUAGAGGGUGAGAAUCCCGUACUUGACGCGGCAGCCGGUGCUUUGUGAUGCGGCCUCGAC